RNAcentral lists this ribosomal RNA (490 nucleotides) under uncultured bacterium. RNAcentral describes it as "partial 16S ribosomal RNA". It matches the Rfam family "Bacterial small subunit ribosomal RNA", at positions 30 to 507 of the family's 1533-position model. The record is from RNAcentral.
AUUGAACGCUGGCGGCAUGCCUUACACAUGCAAGUCGAACGGCAGCAUGAUCUAGCUUGCUAGAUUGAUGGCGAGUGGCGAACGGGUGAGUAAUACAUCGGAACGUGCCCUGUAGUGGGGGAUAACUAGUCGAAAGAUUAGCUAAUACCGCAUACGACCUGAGGGUGAAAGUGGGGGACCGCAAGGCCUCAUGCUAUAGGAGCGGCCGAUGUCUGAUUAGCUAGUUGGUGAGGUAAAGGCUCACCAAGGCGACGAUCAGUAGCUGGUCUGAGAGGACGAUCAGCCACACUGGGACUGAGACACGGCCCAGACUCCUACGGGAGGCAGCAGUGGGGAAUUUUGGACAAUGGGCGAUAGCCUGAUCCAGCAAUGCCGCGUGUGUGAAGAAGGCCUUCGGGUUGUAAAGCACUUUUGUCCGGAAAGAAAUGGCUCUGGUUAAUACCUGGGGUCGAUGACGGUACCGGAAGAAUAAGGACCGGCUAACUACGUG